GUUAUUCGGAUUCACUGGGCGUAAAGGGUGCGCAGGCGGCCAAGUGUGUUAGGCGUGAAAGCCCGAGGCUUAACCUCGGAAUUGCACCUAAAACUACAUGGCUAGAGUACUGGAGAGGGUAACGGAAUUCACGGUGUAGCAGUGAAAUGCGUAGAUAUCGUGAGGAACACCAGAGGCGAAGGCGAUCACCUGGGGUUGUUCUGACGCUGAGACACGAAAGCGUGGGUAGCAAGCAGG
RNAcentral lists this ribosomal RNA (237 nucleotides) under uncultured bacterium. RNAcentral describes it as "partial 16S ribosomal RNA". It matches the Rfam family "Bacterial small subunit ribosomal RNA", at positions 540 to 776 of the family's 1533-position model. The record is from RNAcentral.